This 237-nucleotide ribosomal RNA is filed under the name uncultured bacterium. RNAcentral's name for it is "partial 16S ribosomal RNA". It matches the Rfam family "Bacterial small subunit ribosomal RNA", at positions 99 to 334 of the family's 1533-position model. The record is from RNAcentral.
CGAACGGGUGAGUAACGCGUGAGGAACCUGCCUCAAAGAGGGGGACAACAGUUGGAAACGACUGCUAAUACCGCAUAAGCCCACGGCUCGGCAUCGAGCAGAGGGAAAAGGAGCAAUCCGCUUUGGGAUGGCCUCGCGUCCGAUUAGCUAGUUGGUGAGGUAACGGCCCACCAAGGCGACGAUCGGUAGCCGGACUGAGAGGUUGAACGGCCACAUUGGGACUGAGACACGGCCCAG